Molecule: long non-coding RNA, 752 nt
Filed under: Vigna radiata
Lineage: Eukaryota; Viridiplantae; Streptophyta; Magnoliopsida; Fabales; Fabaceae
Description: long non-coding RNA (VRAD_LNC005176)
Source: RNAcentral
UGUGGUAUGGAGAAAGGUUCAAGUUUGGGGUUGUUGGAAAAUUGGAAAAAAUUGUGAAAAUAAAAAGAAAAGGCAUUGAGCUAAAUAUUGAGGAAAAGAAAAGAAAAGAAAAGAAAAAAAAAGAAGGAAAAGAAGGAAAAGCUCAAUGAAUGGGAAGUUGGGAUUAAGUGAAAAUAGGUUUCUCAAAUAAAAGAGAAAGAGAUGUUGAUGUUUAAUGUACUUACAUGCCCCACCCUUCUCUACUGGAGAAUGAAUGACCAUUAGAAUGUCAAGAUAACCCCCAAAAUUACUCAACACCAGAAUCUUGAUGCUUAGCCCUGACCUGCUCACCCUUCGAGUUACUCUCUAUCACCCAAUGUAAGUGCAAACAGAGAGCUUCCCCAGACCAACGAGAAAUCUCGCCCAACCUCUGAAACCCACUACCAAACCUUUAUAUUACGCGACCAUCUAGUCUGCAAAAUUCUGCAGAACAUAAAUUCUACAGAAUUUAUACCCCGUAACCUCACAUGCAUCUACAACUCUCUUUUGCCUUUUCAAACCUUAAUUGAGCAAAUACAAAUUUUUAUAACUCAACUUAAAUGUUAUUUGUCUUAUUUUCCCACAAAGUUCUAACUCAAAGAACUAAACAUCAUUAUAAAUGCUUAAAAGUUCAUUCUUAUUCAUUUAUGAUAAAAAUUUGGUGAACUUAACCUUUAAACAAGUCACAAAUUGUUCAUAAACAAACUUUAAACCUCAAGAUUCUCCAUUCCACC